RNAcentral lists this transfer RNA (73 nucleotides) under Gemmata palustris. RNAcentral describes it as "Gemmata sp. G18 tRNA-Lys". It matches the Rfam family "tRNA". Rfam says of the family: Transfer RNA (tRNA) molecules are approximately 80 nucleotides in length. The record is from RNAcentral. Lineage: Bacteria; Pseudomonadati; Planctomycetota; Planctomycetia; Gemmatales; Gemmataceae.
GCCUCGCACGCUUCAAUGGUGAAGCCGCCGGCUUUUAACCGGUAGAUGCAGGGUUCGAUUCCCUGGCGAGGCA